This 497-nucleotide ribosomal RNA is filed under the name uncultured bacterium. RNAcentral describes it as "partial 16S ribosomal RNA". It matches the Rfam family "Bacterial small subunit ribosomal RNA", at positions 28 to 507 of the family's 1533-position model. The record is from RNAcentral.
GAUGAACGCUGGCGGCGUGCCUAAUACAUGCAAGUCGAGCGAACAGACGAGGAGCUUGCUCCUCUGACGUUAGCGGCGGACGGGUGAGUAACACGUGGAUAACCUACCUAUAAGACUGGGAUAACUUCGGGAAACCGGAGCUAAUACCGGAUAAUAUAUUGAACCGCAUGGUUCAAUAGUGAAAGACGGUUUUGCUGUCACUUAUAGAUGGAUCCGCGCCGCAUUAGCUAGUUGGUAAGGUAACGGCUUACCAAGGCAACGAUGCGUAGCCGACCUGAGAGGGUGAUCGGCCACACUGGAACUGAGACACGGUCCAGACUCCUACGGGAGGCAGCAGUAGGGAAUCUUCCGCAAUGGGCGAAAGCCUGACGGAGCAACGCCGCGUGAGUGAGGAAGGUCUUCGGAUCGUAAAACUCUGUUAUUAGGGAAGAACAAAUGUGUAAGUAACUAUGCACGUCUUGACGGUACCUAAUCAGAGAGCCACGGCUAACUACGUG